This 72-nucleotide transfer RNA is filed under the name Olavius algarvensis associated proteobacterium Delta 3. It matches the Rfam family "tRNA". Rfam says of the family: Transfer RNA (tRNA) molecules are approximately 80 nucleotides in length. Their secondary structure includes four short double-helical elements and three loops (D, anti-codon, and T loops). Lineage: Bacteria; Deltaproteobacteria. The record is from Rfam by way of RNAcentral. RNAcentral also lists the same sequence under 13 other names.
GGCGGCAUAGCCAAGUGGUAAGGCAGAGGUCUGCAAAACCUCCAUUCCCCAGUUCGAAUCUGGGUGCCGCCU